UUUACCUACGGGGGGCAGCAGUGGGGGAUAUUGCACAAUGGGGGGAACCCUGAUGCAGCGACGCCGCGUGGGCGAUGGAGUACUUCGGCAUGUAAAGCCCUAUCAGCAGGGAAGAAAAUGACGGUACCUGACUAAGAAGCCCCGGCUAAAUACGUGCCAGCAGCCGCGGCAAUACGUAUGGGGCAAGCGUUAUCCGGAUUUACUGGGUGUAAAGGGAGCGUAGAAGGCAGCGCAAGUCUGGAGUGAAAUGCCGGGGCUAAAACCCGGAACUGCUUUGGAAACUUUGCAGAUAGAGU
This 296-nucleotide ribosomal RNA is filed under the name uncultured bacterium. RNAcentral's name for it is "partial 16S ribosomal RNA". It matches the Rfam family "Bacterial small subunit ribosomal RNA", at positions 334 to 647 of the family's 1533-position model. The record is from RNAcentral.